AGUGAACGCUGGCGGUAGGCCUAACACAUGCAAGUCGAACGGCAGCACAGUAAGAUCUUGCUCUUACGGGUGGCGAGUGGCGGACGGGUGAGGAAUACAUCGUAAUCUACUUUUUCUUGUGGGAUAACGUAGGGAAACUUACGCUAAUACCGCAUACGACCUACGGGUGAAAGCAGGGGAUCUUCUGACCUUGCGCGAUUGAAUGAGCCGAUGUCGGAUUAGCUAGUUGGCGGGGUAAAGGCCCACCAAGGCGACGAUCCGUAGCUGGUCUGAGAGGAUGAUCAGCCACACUGGAACUGAGACACGGUCCAGACUCCUACGGGAGGCAGCAGUGGGGAAUAUUGGACAAUGGGCGCAAGCCUGAUCCAGCCAUACCGCGUGUGUGAAGAAGGCCUUCGGGUUGUAAAGCCCUUUUGUUGGGAAAGAAAAGCAGCAGGUUAAUACCCCGCUGUUCUGACGGUACCCAAAGAAUAAGCACCGGCUAACUUCGUG
RNAcentral lists this ribosomal RNA (492 nucleotides) under uncultured bacterium. RNAcentral describes it as "partial 16S ribosomal RNA". It matches the Rfam family "Bacterial small subunit ribosomal RNA", at positions 29 to 507 of the family's 1533-position model. The record is from RNAcentral.